Molecule: long non-coding RNA, 664 nt
Organism: Grus americana (Whooping crane)
Lineage: Eukaryota; Metazoa; Chordata; Aves; Gruiformes; Gruidae
Exons: 4
Source: RefSeq, a predicted model, not a curated record
AGAUGGAGUGAUUUCUCAUGUAGUGUUACAGUAAUGACCAACGUGACACAGAAGGAAAAUUCUGUGACAAUAUGGGAAAUUUGAGGCCAACGUUUUUGCUGCAUAAUGAAAUUCAUGCAAGAAAAUUUUUCAUAGUGCCCGCCAGCAGCAGCCUGCAAAGCGAUCGUGGUUUUCCUGCUGACUACGAAGGAGCUGGGACUGAGCCUUGGAAGAAGACACCCGGACUGCGGUACCUCCGAUGGGUUUGCAGCCCAAGAGGCACCCCAUGCACACGUAUGGCAGCAGAGCCUUGUGCCUCGUGCUGGAUUUGAAGCACUGAGAGCUGCCAGUGACUUUUCCAGGUCGGGGCCCCCAGGCAUCCGCAUGGAGAACUGCAGUAGCGGGACUGACACGGCUCAGGGACCAUGCGAGGAGACAGAUGCGAGAAAUAGAGAAGAAAAAGCGAUGCCACCUUAUUUUUGCGCAUCUCCUUUGCUUCAGACGGAGGGCUACGCAGCUCAGCAGGCCAACAUACCUCCUACAAAGAAAAUCCUAAGGAUACGUUGGCUCCUGGACGAUCCCAUUGCUCCCUUCCAGCCCUGACCUCCACAGUGCCCCGCUGCCGCCGGGAUGGACCAGGUUCUUCUCAAACAAGUCACCUGCGAACGUGCCAGAAGAAAAGUCA